UGGGGAAUAUUGCACAAUGGGCGCAAGCCUGAUGCAGCCAUGCCGCGUGUAUGAAGAAGGCCUUCGGGUUGUAAAGUACUUUCAGCGGGGAGGAAGGUGUUGAGGUUAAUAACCUCAGCAAUUGACGUUACCCGCAGAAGAAGCACCGGCUAACUCCGUGCCAGCAGCCGCGGUAAUACGGAGGGUGCAAGCGUUAAUCGGAAUUACUGGGCGUAAAGCGCACGCAGGCGGUCUGUCAAGUCGGAUGUGAAAUCCCCGGGCUCAACCUGGGAACUGCAUUCGAAACUGGCAGGCUAGAGUCUUGUAGAGGGGGGUAGAAUUCCAGGUGUAGCGGUGAAAUGCGUAGAGAUCUGGAGGAAUAUCGGUGGCGAAGGCGGCCCCCUGGACAAAGACUGACGCUCAGGUGCGAAAGCGUGGGGAGCAAACA
RNAcentral lists this ribosomal RNA (427 nucleotides) under uncultured bacterium. RNAcentral's name for it is "partial 16S ribosomal RNA". It matches the Rfam family "Bacterial small subunit ribosomal RNA", at positions 355 to 774 of the family's 1533-position model. The record is from RNAcentral.